UACGGAGGAUGCGAGCGUUAUCCGGAUUUAUUGGGUUUAAAGGGUGCGUAGGCGGCUUUUUAAGUCAGCGGUGAAAUUUUGCAGCUUAACUGUAACAGUGCCGUUGAUACUGGGGAGCUAGGAUUUGGCUGCUGUGGGUGGAAUGUGUGGUGUAGCGGUGAAAUGCUUAGAGAUCACACAGAAUAUCGAUUGCGAAGGCAGCUCACAAAGCCAAGAUUGACGCUGAGGCACGAAAGUGUGGGGAGUCAAACAGGA
Molecule: ribosomal RNA, 255 nt
Filed under: uncultured prokaryote
Description: partial 16S ribosomal RNA
Rfam family: Bacterial small subunit ribosomal RNA
Source: RNAcentral